UAGGGAAUCUUCCGCAAUGGACGAAAGUCUGACGGAGCAACGCCGCGUGAGUGAAGAAGGAUUUCGGUUCGUAAAACUCUGUUGUUAGGGAAGAAAAAAUGUAUAGUAACUAUAUACAAAAGAGACGGUACCUAACCAGAAAGCCACGGCUAACUACGUGCCAGCAGCCGCGGUAAUACGUAGGUGGCAAGCGUUGUCCGGAAUUAUUGGGCGUAAAGCGCGCGCAGGUGGUUUAGAAAGUCUGAUGUGAAAGCCCACGGCUCAACCGUGGAGGGUCAUUGGAAACUAAUAAACUUGAGUGCAGGAGAGAAAAGUGGAAUUCCUAGUGUAGCGGUGAAAUGCGUAGAUAUUAAAAAGAAUACCGGUGGCGAAGGCGACUUACUGGGCUCAUUCUGACGCUGAGGAACGAAAGCGUGGGUAGCAAACAGG
RNAcentral lists this ribosomal RNA (429 nucleotides) under Verrucomicrobiota bacterium. RNAcentral's name for it is "Verrucomicrobia bacterium partial 16S ribosomal RNA". It matches the Rfam family "Bacterial small subunit ribosomal RNA", at positions 355 to 776 of the family's 1533-position model. The record is from RNAcentral. Lineage: Bacteria; Pseudomonadati; Verrucomicrobiota.